This is a long non-coding RNA of Polypterus senegalus (gray bichir), 1046 nucleotides long. RefSeq lists it as uncharacterized. NCBI's taxonomy places the organism in Eukaryota, Metazoa, Chordata, Cladistia, Polypteriformes, Polypteridae. The record is from RefSeq and is a predicted model, not a curated record. The transcript is spliced from 4 exons.
UCUCUGCUUCUUUAAUUCUGUCUAAUAUUUCAACAUAGAAACUGCCAAAGGAGGUAUGGCUAACAAUAACAGUUUGAAUUUCUUUCAGCAAAAGCAGAGUUACUAACUACAAGGAGCAACUUUAGUUCAUAUGCAGGGAACUGGAAUCUUACUGGGUUAACAUAUUCAGAUAUGUUGUAGGGAGGCAAAUUGAAGAACCACCCCACCCCUAGCGGCAUCAACUCUUGCUACGCUACUGAUGCAUCCCAAUUUGGCCCUACACUGAUUUCAGACUGCAAGUACAGCAUUUUCUUCUCAACCAAUAUAAAACUUUCAUUGUUUUUGUGGAUUACAGCUUUUGCAUAAUUUAGUCUAAUUGUGGUUUAUGUUUAGCCAUGUUGAAUUUCCAAAAAAUAGUUUUUGCCCAUUUGUUUUCAUCUAGACCCUUUUCUGAAAAAUAUAUUGGAUCAACAUGGGUGUUUUGUUCUUUCAACCUCCCAAAAAUCUUAAAAAGUCAAAAACAUUCUUUUUUAAUGAGUUACACAGUUGUGAAAUUGCAGUCAAAAUGAUGUUUAGUGUCAAUUUUGUGAAACUGUAUGCAAAAGGAAAAUUGACUGUUUCACUCGACCACCUACAGUAUUAUUUUGUGACGUUACAAAUAUUAUGUGUAAGUACAGUAUAUUAUAUAUACAGUAUGUUAGAAAAUGGAUGGAUGGAUGGAUGGGUGGCUGGGUGCAUGGAUAUUAUACAUAAACAGAGUGAGAUUUGGGCCACUGGUGGCCUGUUCCACGUUGGACAAGCAGGCAGAUAGGAAUUUCAUAGAAUGGUAUACAUAUGACAAUAAAUCUGAAAUAAACUGAUGACACUGCAUUUUUUUAUCAGAGCAAAAUGUUAUAUUUUGAAAAAGCUAACACUCUUGGAAACCUGAACGUUGUUGCUAAGUGUGAUAGAUAUAAGCCACAAUGAAACAGAAUAUAAUGUGAUUUUUAGCACAUACUGAAUCAUUGUUCAGAAUAUGAUAGGAAGAGAAUGACUAAGAGUCGCAUUAGUAACUAUUACAGCUUCCG